This is a long non-coding RNA of Pseudophryne corroboree (corroboree frog), 527 nucleotides long. RefSeq lists it as uncharacterized. The transcript has 2 exons. Lineage: Eukaryota; Metazoa; Chordata; Amphibia; Anura; Myobatrachidae. The record is from RefSeq and is a predicted model, not a curated record.
GGAGUGAAGGGAAAGGGGCCCCUGCGCAUGCUGUAACAGUUAGUCCCCCACAAAUGGUACCUGUGGGAGACGCAGCAUCCCGGCGGGCAGCUCCAGUGACAGAGCAGAGAGCGGGGUACGGAGACGCUGGCAGAGAGGUAGUCUCGGUGACAGUGAGGCUGGAGAACGCUGCAGGCAGACAAAUAGCCCCUGGCGGAGAGGCAGUCCCGGUGAUGGCGAGGUUGGAGAGCCAGAGAGCUGUGCAGUAGAGGCGCAGGCAACCAGAGUAAGAGGGAGAACGGUGAGGAGUGAGAUCCUGUCAGUGCUGAGGACUCACUGAUUGGUACAAGAACUACAAUAAGAGGUACCUACACUAUCUGUCUUACAAUAAUCAGACAGAGGGGGUGGAGAGGCAGAGCGUAGAGGAACAAGAGGAACAGGAGGAGUCGGGGGAGCUACCAGAGGUGGGAAUGUUUGUUGGAACGGUCUAAAGAAUUUAUUGACGCUGAUAACCCAACUAUAGUUGUACAAUAAAGCUGUUAUACUUA